UUUCUUCAAGUACUGGUAUGUCUAAAGAGAAAUCUGAAUAUGUUGUUGUUGAUUGGGGAACUUGGGGAAUCAAUGUCCAGUUAUCCACAAAGAUCGUGGUCAAAGAUCAACUCGGUGCUAUAAAAUAAGGAGAUGCAUGCUCGCUUCAGGGAAUCAAUCCAGUGACCAAGAGACCAGUCAUGUUCGAAGGCGAAGUAUUGGGAGUGUUUGGAUCAAAAAGAGAUGCUGAAAAAAUGGUGACUUCUCUGGUUAGUCCUGCAGUCAAAGAUGCAGAACAAGAGCCCAAUAUUGAUGUGCCACACCCAUGCUGGGAGUCAAGACCUUCCAAGAAAAAGCUUGAGGAUUUAGAGAAUACUCAACAGUGCAAAGAGCUGAGAAGAAAAAAGGCCAGAAAAGAGCCCAGAGAGAAAGAUCAAAAUCUCAAAAAGCCGUUGAGCAAACAAAAACAAACAGACCAGGAACCAGAGGUGUCUCGUAAAAAGAAAAGUGUGUCUAAGAGGAAGGUUGCUGAUGCUAAAGAUACCCAGGAUCGUGGAUUUCUUUCAGCAGCAAGUACUCAAAGGGUGCAGAAUCUACUGGAGCGAAGGCAGCAUGUGAAUUGGAAACCUGAAGUAGUUGAGAUUGAAGAAGGGGAAGACGAAAAUAGGACCAACCAACCUGCCAGUUCACUGCAGCCCAAGUCAAAACCCCAGCCAUCUGGCAUACAUUUACAUGUAGCGCAGUCAGCUGUUCCAGAAGAGCCAGUCCAGAUCAAUUCAGAACCACAACCACGUCCAAUAAAUGUGUUAAAGUCAACAGACUCUGUCUCUAACUUGCAAUCACAGCCUGCAGAUACAUUUCAGCAGAGAGAUGUCCCCAACUUAAUGCACCAACUUUUAGCAGACAAACAGUCUAAUGGGUCAGAGAGUACUCCAUUCCCACCACAGCAGUCAUCAAACCUUAGCAUUGCAACACGGUCCCCCUCUUCAUCUCAUUACAAAUCAGCUUCACCUGUCAAUCCAGCCUCAAGAUUUCACUUCUCUUCAACACCACUGGGAUCAUCUCACUCAGCUUUAAGAGGUCGUCCUUUACCGAGCCAUCUUUCCAUGUCCAGUCCUCAACAGUUCAUGAAUUCCAGUGAAGUUUUGUCCUACCUGUUAUCCCACAGCAAGAGUUCUCCAUUUCUCAAAGUUUAAGCCAUUGUUCUGACUAUAAUGUUUCAGAUUUGGAAGGUCCUAUUACUUAUUCACCUCGUAACAGCAACUUGCAUCAGUUGCAAACAGUACGAGGCCAUAUCUCCAGAGAUGUCAGCUGGCACAGGACAUCAUCAUUUUCUGAAGAUGUCAACACCUCUUGCCCAAGUUGUCAACCUUUGCUGCAGUCACUCAGUAAUCCACUUAGCAGUCUGGAAGCUGAAGUAGAGAAAUUGAGGAGGAAGCAAAGGAAGGGAAAAGCAGUAUCUGAAAAUGAAGUGGUAGACUGAGAUGACACAAAUGAAGAGAGAUUUAAUGGUUGUACAAAGGAUGCAUUAGUCAGGUCAGUCAAGGAUGCCUCUGAUGCAAAGUCAGCAGUGGAGACACUUGCUAAACAACUUUUUACCACUGAUGAACUGAAAAACUCAUCAGUCACUGGAUUUCAGUGUAACAAAGAUUGAGUCACAUCAAGGCCUGAUUCCAUCAAGGAGGAACCUUUUAGAAAACAUUGUAUUAAAGAAAGCCUUCCCUGCAAUGACCGGGUCGUCUGUCACAAAAGACCUUAAUCUACUUCUGAGAAAGGCCAUAGCUUUAAAUAAAGAAAACUGCCUGAAGGUCAAGAACAAGAAUGGAAAAUAGUAGCUAUAAAAUUAUCUCUUACAAACAUGUUAUUCUAAGUUUCUUGAGUUACUGUUUCAGUGAAGAUUGUGGUGUAUAUUUUGAACAAUCCAGAUUAGACUUGUUUUAGAAUUAAAGGUAUUG
Unclassified non-coding RNA from Orbicella faveolata, 1934 nucleotides. NCBI's taxonomy places the organism in Eukaryota, Metazoa, Cnidaria, Anthozoa, Scleractinia, Merulinidae. The record is from RefSeq and is a predicted model, not a curated record.